GGGGCUGUAGCUCAGUGGUAGGGCACUUACCUUGCACGUGUGCGGUACUGAGUUCGAUCCUCAGCACCA
This is a non-coding RNA of Ictidomys tridecemlineatus (thirteen-lined ground squirrel), 69 nucleotides long. Lineage: Eukaryota; Metazoa; Chordata; Mammalia; Rodentia; Sciuridae. The record is from Rfam.